This 92-nucleotide small nucleolar RNA is filed under the name Theobroma cacao (cacao). RNAcentral describes it as "Small nucleolar RNA snoR8a". It matches the Rfam family "Small nucleolar RNA snoR8a". The record is from Rfam by way of RNAcentral. Lineage: Eukaryota; Viridiplantae; Streptophyta; Magnoliopsida; Malvales; Malvaceae.
GAGUUAGCGAUUAUUAUAAAAUAAUUCUUCGUUUUGGCUUGCUUAAUUUGGACAUGAUAAGCUUCUUUUUACAACCAUAGAAUUUGAGCUCC